AACGAACGCUGGCGGCAUGCCUAACACAUGCAAGUCGAACGAGACCUUCGGGCCUAGUGCCGCAGGGUUGGUUAAGCGGGGGGAACCGGCCCUUGGGUUGGGAUUAACUCCCGGAAAGGGGUGCAAAUACCGGAUAUUGUCUUGGGCCCAAAGAUUUAUCGCCUUUGGAUGGGCCCGCGUUGGAUUAGCUAGUUGGUAGGGUAAAAGCCUACCAAGGCGACGAUCCAUAGCUGGUCUGAGAGGAUGAUCAGCCACACUGGGACUGAGACACGGCCCAGACUCCUACGGGAGGCAGCAGUGGGGAAUAUUGGACAAUGGGCGAAAGCCUGAUCCAGCAAUGCCGCGUGAGUGAUGAAGGCCUUAGGGUUGUAAAGCUCUUUUACCCGGGAUGAUAAUGACAGUACCGGGAGAAUAAGCUCCGGCUAACUCCGU
Molecule: ribosomal RNA, 432 nt
Filed under: uncultured bacterium
Lineage: Bacteria
Description: partial 16S ribosomal RNA
Rfam family: Bacterial small subunit ribosomal RNA
Source: RNAcentral